Molecule: RNA transcript, 4812 nt
Organism: Stegostoma tigrinum
Lineage: Eukaryota; Metazoa; Chordata; Chondrichthyes; Orectolobiformes; Stegostomatidae
Gene name: aquaporin-3-like
Exons: 7
Source: RefSeq, a predicted model, not a curated record
CUGGCUAAGGAGCUUUAAGGUUCCUGUAUUUAAAGGCAAAAGCACAGCUUCAGUAAUUUGCCAUUGUACUGAAUCAAGGGCUGCAGCAACAUUAAUCUGUAAGAACCACAAUUCCUCAGUUCAAAAUGGGAAAACAAAAGGCAAUAAUCAGAAAAAUUGAAGAUUCGUUCAGAAUAAGAAAUCUAUUGCUUAGACAAUGUCUUGCUGAAUGUUUAGGAACAUUGAUUCUUGUGUUGUUUGGAUGUGGAGCGCUGGCACAAGUUACCCUCAGCAGGGGCACACAUGGAAGGUUUUUGACUGUCAAUUUUGCUUUUGGAUUUGCAGUAAUGCUUGGUGUUCUAUUAGCUGGCCAAGUGUCAGGUGCUCACCUGAACCCUGCUGUGACCUUUGCUAUGUGCUUACUUGCUCGCGAACCCUGGAUAAAAUUUCCCUUUUACUCUUUGGCACAAAUACUAGGUGGCUUCCUUGGAUCUGGUGUCAUUUUUGGUUUGUAUUUUGAUGCCAUGUGGGACUUCAGUGGUCAAAAUAAACUGUUGGUAUAUGGCCCCAAUGCAACUGCUGGCAUAUUUGCUACUUACCCAUCUGCACAUCUAACUCCACUCAAUGGCUUUUUUGAUCAGCUGAUUGGAACUAGCGCUCUGAUAGUUUGCAUCCUUGCUAUUGUGGAUAAAUUCAAUAACCCAGUGCCAAAGGGUGUGGAGGCAUUUACAGUUGGCUUUACUGUACUGGUCAUUGGCUUGUCAAUGGGCUUCAACUCUGGCUAUGCUGUGAACCCUGCCAGAGAUUUUGGACCUCGUUUGUUUACAGCGUUGGCUGGCUGGGGAGCUGAAGUUUUCAUUGCUGGACACUACUGGUUUUGGAUUCCAAUUAUUGCCCCCCUCCUUGGAUCUGUACUUGGCACUCUGGUAUAUCAACUAAUGAUUGGGAUACAUCUUGAGCCUGUAAAUCAUAAUUUACCCACUAGAGAAGAAAAUGUAAAACUGGCUAAUGUAAAUUUAAGAGAAAGCUCUUGAUACAUCAUGGAUCAUGGUCAGAGAUUGUCAAAUAAGUAUUUGUGAUACUCCUGAGAUGCUGCUUGUGUUCAUCCAGCUCCACACUUUGUUAUCUCGGAUUCUCCAGCAUCUGCAGUUCCCAUUAUCACUGAUACCAUUUGUGAUACUCCAUGCAUUUUCUCAUAAUAAAUCCCAAAAUUUGAUUUCAGUAGCUCCUGAUUUAUACCACUCAAAAUUCAUGUAUUUAAAAGCAGACCCAAGUGACAUAAAUGUUUCAGAUAUAAUAGGAACUGCAGAUGCUGGAGAAUCUGAGAUAACAGGGUGUGGAGCUGGAUGAACACAGCAGGCCUAGCAGUAUCUUAGGAGCCUGCUCCUCUGAUGCUGCUUGGCCUGCUCUGUUCAUCCAGCUCCACACCUUGUUAUCUGUGACAUAAAUGCUUAUCUUGUUCGAAUGAUUUUUAAAAAUUCAUUUGCAGGAUGUAAUCACUGAUUAGGCCAACAUUUACUUCUCAUCUCUAAUUGCCUAGAGGGCAGUUAAAAAUCAACCACAUUGUUGUAGGUCUGGAAUCACGUGUAGGCCAGACCAGGUAAAACCAACAGAUUGGAUAUUAUUGAACCAGAUGGGUUUUUCCUGACAAUUGACAUCAUUUGACUCUUAAUUCCCAAUUUGUUUUUGUUUUUUAAUUGAAUUUAAAUUCCACCAUCUUAGCCGAUAACUUACAAAUAAAGGCACAUUUUCCUUGAUGGGCAUUCACUGUUCAGUGGAAUGAAAAGGGAAAGUUUUGGACAAACUCAGCAGGUCUAGCAGCAUCUGUGGAGAAAGAAACAGAGUUUAACAUUUCAGGUUCAAUAUAACCUUUCUUCAUUCUGCAGUACUUUGCUUUUGUCUGACUGGUCAGUGGACAUUGUGCUUAUCCUGUAAAGCUGCUCCCAACCUGGACCAUGAGUGUAAAAGGAUGAGGAGGAAACUGGAGCUGAGGUGUAGGUCUCAGAUGCCUCUGGCUGUUUCAGGCUUGUUUAGACAGAGUCAUUCUGAUCAUCAGUAAUUGGAAAGUCUUGACUGCUGGGAUUCCAGGGUUAGGUAGAAUGUUUUAAAUUUUUACUUUGACUUCAUAUUUCCAACCUGUUCCUUGGGUUUCUAUUGGGCAUCUGGGUAGUUUGUAAUAACAGUUUAUCAUAAAUAAAUGUUCGAGUCCCAAGAAAAUGUUUUGAGACAUCUACUAAUUUGAUUGUUUAAAAUGUAGCUUUAAAAUAUGGUCACAGAAUUUAGAUUUAAUCAUUUGGGCUGUAAUUUACACUGUCACUGUCACUACACAUAUACGCACAUACAUAUUUAGGGCCCAAAUUCUCCCACGUCCGAGCCCCCUACCCCACACACCAAGCUUUGUCCUCACACAGCCUGCCAUUACACACUACCUGUUGUUAGUCAUUAACAGUCCCCAUUAACAGCUAUUCACCCUCCAAGCCAGAUUGUUAACAACUCCUUUGUCUAUCCAACUGCUCUUCUGUCUCUUUGGGCUCUCUCCUUUAUCCUAUCGUUUACGCCCUACCCUUUCCCCACCCUAUUUUCUGCACAUAAACCAACAUUUUCCUAGCUGCCAUCAAUUCUAAGGAAGAAUCACUGGGCCUAAAAUGUUAACUCUGAUUUUUUUCUUGACAGAUGCUGCCAGAUCUGCUGAGCUUUUCCAGCAACUUCUGUUUUUGUCCCUGAUUUACUGCGCCUGCAGCUCUUUCGGUUUUCACUACACAUGUAGGAUUGGAGCAUCCUGCAUCACAGGCUGCAAUGAGCAAGUCAAUUAUCAACAUCAACUAAGUUGCACCACCCAGGAGCAGCAACCUGGGACAAGUAGACUUGACCUGAUUGAAAUCAUAGAGUCAUAGUCUUGUACAGCACAGAAAAAAGACCCUUCAGCCCAUCAAGUCUGUACCUGUCAAAAACAAUCAUUUAACUAAUCUAAUCCCAUUUUCCAACAGAUUGUCUGAAGAAGGGUCACUGGACUAAAAGCAUAACUAUGUUUUCUCUCCAGACCUGUUGAGAUUCUCCAGCAAAUUCUACUUUUGCCCAUAUUCCAAUAGUUGGCCUAUAGCCACGUGUGCCUUGGCAUCUAAAUUCCUCCUAAAUGUUAAGAGGAUUUCUGUCUCUAUCACACUCUCAGGCAGCGAGUCCCAGAUUCCCACGAAAAAAAAAUUUCCUUGUGUCAACUUUAAACCUCUUGCUCCUCGCCCCCGGUCCUUUAUCCUUUCACCAAGGAGAAACAUUUCUUCCUGUCUACCUUGUCUAUGGCCCUCAUAAGUUUUAUACUCUCAAUCAUAUCCGCCCACUCGGUCUCCUCUGAUUGAAGAAAAACAAACCCAGUCUCUCCACACUUUGUUGUCUCGGAUUCUCCAACAUCUGCAGUUCCCAUUAUCACUGAUACAAUUUUAACCAGUCUGUCCAAUCUCUCUUCAUGACCAAAAUUCUCCAGGUCUGGCAACAUCCCUUUUGUUACAAAAACCUCUUUGUUCCCUGUGCAUAACAUCACAACCAUAUCCCUGCCUCAGUUCAACUGCUGAGUCCACUAUUCCACUGGCUAACUGUCACCUCCCCAAUCUCUGUAAACCAGCUUAAUCAGGACUCCACUGCUUGUAUGUUAUCUCUACCGGGUCUUGCUUAUGUGUAACGCAUGAUCCUGCUGACUUACUGUGGUUACUGCUCUUGCGUUGAUAAAAUUCUUAGCUAUGUGUUCAAAUUCCUUGGUGGUUUUUCCGAUCUCUGUAAUGUAUUCAUCCCAAGGAUUACCCCCACUGUGUGCUGAUGCUUGAACUCUUGUCUUUUUUGUGCAUAUGUUUGGCACAUGUGUAUUUACAGGAGCUGUUGAGACUAGCUUUCUGCCUGCAAAGGAAGCAUCACUGCAACUUCCAGCCUUAUUAUGCCUCAUUGAAAGAAGUGGAUUUCAGUGUUAUCUCUGAAUGCACCAUGAUCAUCACAUGAGCUUACUUUUUUUUAUUAGUCUUGCGUUAGAUUUCAAAGUUGUUUUUAAACUGUGCUGAAAUCUGUGGAGGAUGCUAGUUUCUGGUAUCCAAUGAGCUGAACUGUCGAAGUGAAUUUUCUUUAUUUUGCUACAACAGCUAAGUCAUUUUAGGUCUUCCAAGUUGACAAUCAUAAUUGCUCCUGGAGUUACCUUGGGAUGUUAGUUAACUAUACAAAGCCUGGGUAACAGAAGCUGGCCUUGCUAAACUGAAUCUUUUUAGAAUAUAAAAGCAGAUCACAUACUAGCUAUAAAAUUUCAGAAAGAUACCAUUCAGCCUAAGUUUUAUUUGUUUUAAAACUGCUGAUGAGUUUUAGUUGAUGGAAUGUAAAUACAGUAAUGCUAGCUUAACUGGGACUUUAUUCUAGGAUUUUGAUUUCAUUAAAAAUAGUUUCUGAAACUAUAAACAGUAGUAGAUACAAUAUUUUGAUACUUGUCAAAUAUCAAGUUAUUGCCAUUUUAUAUAUGGUUGUGGGAUCAAAGGAAGUGAACAUAAAAGAAAUAAUCUUCUGUACCGUUUGUAUUAUCAUGUAAAAUGCGUUCCAAGACAGAAAAAAAAACAUAGUACCUGUACAGCAAACAAAAAAGUCAGCAUAAAGUCACAGUGCAUAUUUCCUAAAGAAAAGCUCAGAAAUAAAGUGGCUACUUGAGUAAUAAUCAAUAAACCCUGCUGUUUCACAUUGACAGAAGAUGCAUCCUUACUUAGAAGUCUACAGGCUAUUUUAAGGGUAUCUUUUCUGCUCCUCAUAUAUUGCUAAUUUCUGUUUACAAGUGGGGACAAAUUAAACAAUAAAAUUGGUUUUGAAUAAUGG